Molecule: ribosomal RNA, 548 nt
Filed under: fungal endophyte sp. P916A
Lineage: Eukaryota; Fungi
Description: eukaryotic LSU rRNA
Rfam family: 5.8S ribosomal RNA (bases 189-342)
Source: RNAcentral
CGGAGGGAUCAUUGCUGGAACGCGCUUCGGCGCACCCAGAAACCCUUUGUGAACUUAUACCUAUUUGUUGCCUCGGCGUAGGCCGGCCUCUUCACUGAGGCCCCCUGGAAACAGGGAGCAGCCCGCCGGCGGCCAACUAAACUCUUGUUUCUAUAGUGAAUCUCUGAGUAAAAACAUAAAUGAAUCAAAACUUUCAACAACGGAUCUCUUGGUUCUGGCAUCGAUGAAGAACGCAGCGAAAUGCGAUAAGUAAUGUGAAUUGCAGAAUUCAGUGAAUCAUCGAAUCUUUGAACGCACAUUGCGCCCUCUGGUAUUCCGGAGGGCAUGCCUGUUCGAGCGUCAUUUCAACCCUCAAGCCUGGCUUGGUGAUGGGGCACUGCCUUCUAACGAGGGCAGGCCCUGAAAUCUAGUGGCGAGCUCGCUAGGACCCCGAGCGUAGUAGUUAUAUCUCGUUCUGGAAGGCCCUGGCGGUGCCCUGCCGUUAAACCCCCAACUUCUGAAAAUUUGACCUCGGAUCAGGUAGGAAUACCCGCUGAACUUAAGCAUAU